This 445-nucleotide ribosomal RNA is filed under the name uncultured bacterium. RNAcentral's name for it is "partial 16S ribosomal RNA". It matches the Rfam family "Bacterial small subunit ribosomal RNA", at positions 338 to 795 of the family's 1533-position model. The record is from RNAcentral.
CCUACGGGAGGCAGCAGUGGGGAAUAUUGCACAAUGGGCGAAAGCCUGAUGCAGCGACGCCGCGUGAGGGAUGACGGCCUUCGGGUUGUAAACCUCUUUCAGUAGGGAAGAAGCGAAAGUGACGGUACCUGCAGAAGAAGCACCGGCUAACUACGUGCCAGCAGCCGCGGGAAUACGUAGGGUGCGAGCGUUAUCCGGAAUUAUUGGGCGUAAAGGGCUCGUAGGCGGGUUGUCGCGUCUGGCGUGAAAGUCCGGGGCUUAACCCCGGAUCUGCGGUGGGUACGGGCAGACUAGAGUGCAGGAGGGGAGAGUGGAAUUCCUGGUGUAGCGGUGGAAUGCGCAGAUAUCAGGAGGAACACCGAUGGCGAAGGCAGGUCUCUGGGCUGUAACUGACGCUGAGGAGCGAAAGCAUGGGGAGCGAACAGGAUUAGAUACCCCGGUAGUC